UUAGGGAAAACUUCAAAAACCCCCCCUGUGGUUUCAUGCAUUCUCACUUUACUAUCCUGUGGUUUAAAACGUAUCAAUUUGUCCUCCUGUGGUUUCAUUUUUAUCUUUUCGGAAGCUUUUUCAUUAACAUUUCGUUAAAUUAUAUACAAAAAACUUCAGAUAACCAUCUAUAUUUAUCGAAUAUUCACUUUAGUAUCCUUUAAUUUUAACUUUGUCACUGAUUUAAGAAAAAAAUAAUAAUAAAAUUGAUAACAAAAAGAGAAAAACGAAACCACAGGGGGGCAAAUUGAUACGUUUUAAACCACAGGGUACUAAAGUGAGAAAGCACGAAACCACAGGAGGGGUUUUUGAAGUUUUCCCUUUUUUUUAUUUGAUUCAUA
This 380-nucleotide long non-coding RNA is filed under the name Ananas comosus (pineapple). RNAcentral's name for it is "long non-coding RNA (ACOM_LNC022761)". The record is from RNAcentral. Lineage: Eukaryota; Viridiplantae; Streptophyta; Magnoliopsida; Poales; Bromeliaceae.